This 60-nucleotide microRNA precursor is filed under the name Glossina palpalis gambiensis. RNAcentral describes it as "microRNA mir-67". It matches the Rfam family "mir-67 microRNA precursor family", at positions 1 to 68 of the family's 84-position model. The record is from RNAcentral. Lineage: Eukaryota; Metazoa; Arthropoda; Insecta; Diptera; Glossinidae.
GCCUCACUCAACUUGGGUUUGAUGUGUUUCGAUAGCAUCACAACCUCUUUGAGUGAGCUA